This 526-nucleotide ribosomal RNA is filed under the name Cantharellus camphoratus. RNAcentral's name for it is "eukaryotic LSU rRNA". It matches the Rfam family "Eukaryotic large subunit ribosomal RNA", at positions 263 to 822 of the family's 3401-position model. The record is from RNAcentral. Lineage: Eukaryota; Fungi; Basidiomycota; Agaricomycetes; Cantharellales; Hydnaceae.
AGUCGAGCAGUUUGGGAUUUGCUGCUUAAACAUGGGAGGUAGAUUCCUUCUAAAGCUAAAUACAGGCGAGAGACCGAUAGAGAACAAGUACCGCAAGGGAAAGAUGAAAUAGCACUCUGUGAAGGGAGUCAAAAGACGUGAAAUUGUUGCGAGAGAAGCGAUUCAAGUCAGCGUAGCUAGGCCCAUCAAGCCUCUUGCUUUGGACUAGCUUUGCCAGCGGUCUUGUCCUAAGAGACUUGACUUUUAUAUGUCCAGCCUGGUAUGUACAGGUAGCCCCAUCGGGGCCAGUGACAUGGCUGGUGGAAUGGCUUGCAAUCGACCCGUCUUGAAACACGGACCAAGGAGUCUAACAUGUAUGCGAGUAUAAGGGUGGCAAACCCGUAUGCGCAAUGAAAGUGAUUUUCGGUGAUUGAGAAUGGCCUGAUGACCAGACAAGCAAUAUUAUGUCCCUCGUACGGCCAUUGCCCAAGUUCCGUGGUAGAUCCCACGAACAUGGUGUUGGAGCAUACAUGCUAGGACCCGAAAG